UCGGCUGCCCACAGCACAAGG
RNAcentral lists this unclassified non-coding RNA (21 nucleotides) under Chlamydomonas reinhardtii. Its description in RNAcentral is "small RNA Cre_2708". The record is from RNAcentral. Lineage: Eukaryota; Viridiplantae; Chlorophyta; Chlorophyceae; Chlamydomonadales; Chlamydomonadaceae.